RNAcentral lists this ribosomal RNA (436 nucleotides) under uncultured Clostridiales Family IV bacterium. Its description in RNAcentral is "bacterial SSU rRNA". It matches the Rfam family "Bacterial small subunit ribosomal RNA", at positions 341 to 792 of the family's 1533-position model. The record is from RNAcentral. Lineage: Bacteria; Bacillati; Bacillota; Clostridia; Eubacteriales; Eubacteriales Family IV. Incertae Sedis.
ACGGAAGGCAGCAGUGAGGGAUAUUGGUCAAUGGGGGAAACCCUGAACCAGCAACGCCGCGUGUGGGAAGAAGGUCUUCGGAUUGUAAACCACUGUUUUCGGUGACGAAUAAAUGACGGUAACCGAGUAGGAAGCUCCGGCUAACUACGUGCCAGCAGCCGCGGUAAUACGUAGGGAGCAAGCGUUGUCCGGAUUUACUGGGUGUAAAGGGAGCGUAGGCGGGAGAGCAAGUCAGAAGUGAAAUCUAUCGGCUUAACUGAUAAACUGCUUUUGAAACUGUUCUUCUUGAGUGAAGUAGAGGUAGGCGGAAUUCCCGGUGUAGCGGUGGAAUGCGUAGAUAUCGGGAGGAACACCAGUGGCGAAGGCGGCCUACUGGGCUUUAACUGACGCUGAGGCUCGAAAGCAUGGGUAGCAAACAGGAUUAGAUACCCUGGUA